GGAGCUUGCUCCACCGAAAGAAAAAGAGUGGCGAACGGGUGAGUAACACGUGGGUAACCUGCCCAUCAGAAGGGGAUAACACUUGGAAACAGGUGCUAAUACCGUAUAACACUAUUUUCCGCAUGGAAGAAAGUUGAAAGGCGCUUUUGCGUCACUGAUGGAUGGACCCGCGGUGCAUUAGCUAGUUGGUGAGGUAACGGCUCACCAAGGCAACGAUGCAUAGCCGACCUGAGAGGGUGAUCGGCCACACUGGGACUGAGACACGGCCCAGACUCCUACGGGAGGCAGCAGUAGGGAAUCUUCGGCAAUGGACGAAAGUCUGACCGAGCAACGCCGCGUGAGUGAAGAAGGUUUUCGGAUCGUAAAACUCUGUUGUUAGAGAAGAACAAGGAUGAGAGUAAAAUGUUCAUCCCUUGACGGUAUCUAACCAGAAAGCCACGGCUAACUACGUGCCAGCAGCCGCGGUAAUACGUAGGUGGCAAGCGUUGUCCGGAUUUAUUGGGCGUAAAGCGAGCGCAGGCGGUUUCUUAAGUCUGAUGUGAAAGCCCCCGGCUCAACCGGGGAGGUCAUUGGAAACUGGGAGACUUGAGUGCAGAAGAGGAGAGUGGAAUUCCAUGUGUAGCGGUGAAAUGCGUAGAUAUAUGGAGGAACACCAGUGGCGAAGGCGGCUCUCUGGUCUGUAACUGACGCUGAGGCUCGAAAGCGUGGGGAGCGAACAGGAUUAGAUACCCUGGUAGUCCACGCCGUAAACGAUGAGUGCUAAGUGUUGGAGGGUUUCCGCCCUUCAGUGCUGCAGCAAACGCAUUAAGCACUCCGCCUGGGGAGUACGACCGCAAGGUUGAAACUCAAAGGAAUUGAC
This 859-nucleotide ribosomal RNA is filed under the name Enterococcus casseliflavus. RNAcentral's name for it is "bacterial SSU rRNA". It matches the Rfam family "Bacterial small subunit ribosomal RNA", at positions 75 to 914 of the family's 1533-position model. Lineage: Bacteria; Bacillati; Bacillota; Bacilli; Lactobacillales; Enterococcaceae. The record is from RNAcentral.